ACACGCAUGACACACUGCAUAUCAAUAAGCGGAGGAAAAGAAACUAACAAGGAUUCCCCUAGUAACGGCGAGGUGAAGCGGGAAGAGCUCAAAUUUGAAAUCUUAAAGGGUUUCCCUUUACGAAUUGUAGUUUAAAGAAGUGUUUUCUGUUGGAGUUUCGGUAAAAGUUCUUUGGAAUAGGACAUCAUAGAGGGUGAGAAUCCCGUAUUUGACCAUUAUUUUCAGCUGUGUGAUACACUUUCAAAGAGUCGGAUUGUUUGGGAAUGCAGUCCAAAAUGGGUGGUAAAUUUCAUCUAAAGCUAAAUAUUGGCGAGAGACCGAUAGCGAACAAGUACCGUGAGGGAAAGAUGAAAAGAACUUUGAAAAGAGAGUUAAACAGUACGUGAAAUUGUCAAAAGGGAAGCGUUUGACACCAGUGUUGUUUAGUUGAAAAUCAAUUCAAUAAUUUUUGAUUUUAAGUAGUAUUGACUUCAUCAGCUUGCUGCUUUCUUUUCAGGAAUUAUUGAAUGCACUUUUCAGUUAACAAGUCAACAUCAAUUUCUUUUGUUGUAAAAGGGUAAGAGGAAGGUGGCUUACGCUUCGGCGUAAGUGUUUAUAGCCUUUUACCUCUGCAAUCGGAGAGAUUGAGGACAGCAGCGUAGACUCUUCGGGGUUAGAUACACUUGUGCUAAGCUAUAGCCUUGUAUAGACAACUUGUUGACUAUGCUCAGUCAUGUAGCUUACUCGCUUGUGCUAUUUUACCUACGCUUAGGAUGUUGAGCGCAUGUCUCUCUCU
RNAcentral lists this ribosomal RNA (775 nucleotides) under uncultured Neocallimastigales. Its description in RNAcentral is "partial large subunit ribosomal RNA". It matches the Rfam family "Eukaryotic large subunit ribosomal RNA", at positions 23 to 616 of the family's 3401-position model. Lineage: Eukaryota; Fungi; Neocallimastigomycota; Neocallimastigomycetes; Neocallimastigales. The record is from RNAcentral.